Long non-coding RNA from Lotus japonicus, 600 nucleotides. RefSeq lists it as uncharacterized. The transcript is spliced from 2 exons. The record is from RefSeq and is a predicted model, not a curated record. NCBI's taxonomy places the organism in Eukaryota, Viridiplantae, Streptophyta, Magnoliopsida, Fabales, Fabaceae.
GCAUGCCACCUAGACAUUAACAGAUAUUUUUUACAUCAUUUUUCACACUAUAAAAGCCCUCACCCAGAAGUAAAAAAUUGCAAAGAUUUUGAGAUUCACUUUCCUUCAUUCUAAGAGAAGACUUCAGAUCAUAACUGAGAUGCAGACAGGAGACAUGGAUGGAGCAGCAUAAGCCAUCACCAUUCAACUCGGAUCUGGUCAUCUGACAAUGGAUCCAGUUACUAAUGUGACAAUGUUUACAGGACCUGUGUGGAUUACCCUAGCUUACCCAUCCACAGAGCCCAUUAUAAUCUCUGGUGACACUACCCUGACUAUCAUAUCUCCACCCACCAUGUCACCUCGCCCAGAGUCCGUUUCACAGUAAUAACCUACCUGAAAGCUGAGAGAUGACAUACCUAAUGGACUUUAUAUUAUGUCAUGAUAUUAAUGUACUAUAGUUUACUUUUGACUAGCAUAACUCGGAUAUAGCUAUGCUUAUGUUUGUAUCACGUAACUCAUCUAGGAUUAUGAUCCACUGAUGUAGAACUUUUCUAUGGCUAGUGUGACAUAUGUAUGUGGUUGCAUCUUGUGAAAAUUAACUUUCUCAUCUCUCGCAAUAAA